This 66-nucleotide transfer RNA is filed under the name uncultured Ruthenibacterium sp. It matches the Rfam family "tRNA". Rfam says of the family: Transfer RNA (tRNA) molecules are approximately 80 nucleotides in length. Their secondary structure includes four short double-helical elements and three loops (D, anti-codon, and T loops). Lineage: Bacteria; Bacillati; Bacillota; Clostridia; Eubacteriales; Oscillospiraceae. The record is from RNAcentral.
GGCAUAGCUCAGCUGGUAGAGCAGCUGAUUUGUAAUCAGCAGGUCGGGGGUUCGAAUCCGUCUGCC